GUUUAAAGGGUGCGCAGGCGGAAGAUCAAGUCAGCGGUAAAAUUGAGAGGCUCAACCUCUUCGAGCCGUUGAAACUGGUUUUCUUGAGUGAGCGAGAAGUAUGCGGAAUGCGUGGUGUAGCGGUGAAAUGCAUAGAUAUCACGCAGAACUCCGAUUGCGAAGGCAGCAUACCGGCGCUCAACUGACGCUCAUGCACGAAAGUGUGGGUAUCGAACAGGAUUAGAUACCCUGGUAGUCCACACAGUAAACGAUGAAUACUAAUUGUUCGGGGAGAAUGAUCCCUGAGUGAUACAGCGAAAGCGUUAAGUAUUCCACCUGGGGAGUACGCCGGCAACGGUGAAACUCAAAGGAAUUGACGGGGGCCCGCACAAGCGGAGGAACAUGUGGUUUAAUUCGAUGAUACGCGAGGAACCUCACCCGGGCUCAAACGACACAGGAAUACUUUUGAAAGGAGGUAGCUCUACGGAGUCUGUGUCGAGGUGCUGCAUGGUUGUCGUCAGCUCGUGCCGUGAGGUGUCGGCUUAAGUGCCAUAACGAGCGCAACCCCCAUCGCCAGUUACCAGCAAGUCAAGUUGGGGACUCUGGCGAGACUGCCGGCGCAAGCUGUGAGGAAGGCGGGGAUGACGUCAAAUCAGCACGGCCCUUACGUCCGGGGCGACACACGUGUUACAAUGGCAGGUACAGAGAGAAGCAAUGCGGCGACGCAAAGCGGAACUUGAAAGCCUGUCUCAGUUCGGAUUGGAGUCUGCAACUCGACUCCAUGAAGCUGGAUUCGCUAGUAAUCGCGCAUCAGCCAUGGCGCGGUGAAUACGUUCCCGGGCCUUGUACACACCGCCCGUCAAGCCAUGGAAGCCGGGAGUGCCUGAAGUGUGCAACCGCAAGGAGCGCCCUAAGGUAAAACUGGUGACUGGGGCUAAGUCGUAACAAGGUAGCCGUAA
RNAcentral lists this ribosomal RNA (938 nucleotides) under uncultured bacterium. RNAcentral describes it as "bacterial SSU rRNA". It matches the Rfam family "Bacterial small subunit ribosomal RNA", at positions 558 to 1505 of the family's 1533-position model. The record is from RNAcentral.